AGGGCGGUGGGAAACUACCGCCCAAGGGCCGGAAAGUUGCCCAAACUCGGUCAUCUUAGAGGAAAGUAAAAGUCGUAACCAAGGUCUCCGUUGGUGAACCAGCGGAGCGGAUCAUAGCGAGUCUCAGCGCUCCAAACACUUGCGAACCGCGCCCCGGACGUCGUUGCCUUCGGCGGGCGCCGCGGGAGCCGGGAGGGUUCUCCUCCCGCCCCCCCGGGGAACGCCCGCCGGCGGCGGCAAACUCUUCUAUAAUGUAGUGGCUUUUACUGAGUGGCACUGCAAGCAAGCAGCCAAAACAACUUUCAACAACGGAUCUCUUGGCUCUGGCAUCGAUGAAGAACGCAGCGAAAUGCGAUAAGUAAUGCGAAUUGCAGAUUUCAGUGAGUCAUCGAAUCUUUGAACGCACAUUGCACCCGGCGGCAUUCCGCCGGGUCUGCCUGUUCGAGCGUCGUUUCCACCCCUCGGGCGUCUUCGGGCACCCGGUGUUGGAGGCACCGCAUGCGCCGCACGCCGGCGCUGCGGCCUCCGAAAUACAGUGGCGGGCCCCUCGGCGAACCCCCUGCGCAGUAGUAAACUCCUCGCAUCGGGUGCCGUGUCGGUGCUCUGCCGUCAACUGAGGGGAUGCGCCUGGCGCGCCCCCGGUCUCAGAACGAUGUCGACCUCGGAUCAGGUAGGGUUACCCGCUGAACUUAAGCAUAU
RNAcentral lists this unclassified non-coding RNA (699 nucleotides) under Corollospora portsaidica. RNAcentral's name for it is "partial miscellaneous RNA". The stretch from base 298 to 451 matches the Rfam family "5.8S ribosomal RNA". Lineage: Eukaryota; Fungi; Ascomycota; Sordariomycetes; Microascales; Halosphaeriaceae. The record is from RNAcentral.